GGAAGGCAGGCCUUCUGCUUACUCCACCAUACAUAUCAGGAGAUGGAACCCAUGAGAGCCAGAUCCAGUGGGACUAAACCACACCAGGCAUUUAACUCUUGUGCCUGGCAAGGGCAUGAGCCUUUGGUAUGCAAGCAAAAGGGCUCUUAUCUUGUGGUUCUCAGCUGAAGGAGAGCAGCCCGAGUGCAAGAUGCUGGCAGAAGGAAUACUAAUGGAGCAAUGGUUGGCUGCAACAAUCCCAUGCUUCUGUUUGAGCAUUCAACACAGAACUCAGCAAGUUCGUGCGAGGGAUCGAAAGAGCUGUCUAUUUUGGUUCUCUCCGUUCCUCAUUUUUCCAGUGUUAGAUUCAGUUCUCUACAUUCCUGCAGCAAUCUGCAAUUAUUAUUUUUUUAAAAUCCUCAUGACAAUUCUCUACCAUU
Rhineura floridana is the source of this 419-nucleotide long non-coding RNA. RefSeq lists it as uncharacterized. The record is from RefSeq and is a predicted model, not a curated record. Lineage: Eukaryota; Metazoa; Chordata; Lepidosauria; Squamata; Rhineuridae. The transcript is spliced from 3 exons.